GUCUGGUAACAGUUCACGGCAUGGCAAACCCCACCAGAAGCAAGACCAAAUAGGAAUCCUAGGUGCGGCCCGUACUGGAUUCGGGUAGGUCGCUUGAGCGUAUGAGUGAUUGUACGCCUAGAGGAAUGACCAUCCUCGACAGAACCCGGCUUAUAGGCUCACUUCACCU
Molecule: RNase P RNA, 169 nt
Filed under: Acinetobacter baumannii
Lineage: Bacteria; Pseudomonadati; Pseudomonadota; Gammaproteobacteria; Moraxellales; Moraxellaceae
Description: partial bacterial RNase P
Rfam family: Bacterial RNase P class A
About the family: Ribonuclease P (RNase P) is a ubiquitous endoribonuclease, found in archaea, bacteria and eukarya as well as chloroplasts and mitochondria.
Source: RNAcentral